GUGAAGAACGUAGCGAAAUGCGAUACUUGGUGUGAAUUGCAGAAUCCCGUGAACCAUCGAGUCUUUGAACGCAAGUUGCGCCCGAAGCCAUUAGGCCGAGGGCACGCCUGCCUGGGCGUCACACGUCGUUGCCCCCCCAUCUACUCCUUCGGGAUUGCGGGGGGCGGAUGAUGGCCUCCCGUGCGCCUCGUCGCGCGGUUGGCAUAAAUGCCAAGUCCUCGGCGACGCACGCCACGACAAUCGGUGGUUGCGAAACCUCGGUUGCCCGUCGUGUGCGGUCGUCGCGCAUCGAGGGCUCGAAAAAAUUGCCGGGCUCCGGCUCGACUUUCAACGCGACCCCAGGUCAGGCGGGGUUACCCGCUGAAUUUAAGCAUAUCAAUAAGCGGAGGA
This 390-nucleotide unclassified non-coding RNA is filed under the name soil metagenome. RNAcentral's name for it is "partial contains 5.8S ribosomal RNA, internal transcribed spacer 2, and large subunit ribosomal RNA". The stretch from base 2 to 121 matches the Rfam family "5.8S ribosomal RNA", at positions 37 to 154 of the family's 154-position model. The record is from RNAcentral.